GAUGAACGCUAGCUACAGGCUUAACACAUGCAAGUCNGGGGAAACGACAGAGGAAGCUUGCUUCCUUUGGGCGUCGACCGGCGCACGGGUGAGUAACGCGUAUCCAACCUUCCCGCAAGUAAGGGAUAACCCGUAGAAAUGCGGCCUAAUACCUUAUGUUUUCCUUAGAGGGCAUCUGAUGAGGAACAAAGAUCCGUCGCUUGCGGAUGGGGAUGCGUCUGAUUAGUUAGUCGGCGGGGUAACGGCCCACCGAGACGACGAUCAGUAGGGGUUCUGAGAGGAAAGUCCCCCACAUUGGAACUGAGACACGGUCCAAACUCCUACGGGAGGCAGCAGUGAGGAAUAUUGGUCAAUGGGCGAGAGCCUGAACCAGCCAAGUAGCGUGCAGGAUGACGGCCCUAUGGGUUGUAAACUGCUUUUAUGUGGGAAUAAAGUCAGGGACGUGUCCCUGUUUGCAUGUACCACAGGAAUAAGGACCGGCUAAUUCCGUG
RNAcentral lists this ribosomal RNA (491 nucleotides) under uncultured bacterium. RNAcentral describes it as "bacterial SSU rRNA". It matches the Rfam family "Bacterial small subunit ribosomal RNA", at positions 28 to 507 of the family's 1533-position model. The record is from RNAcentral.